CUCUUCCUCGAAGUGUAGGCUUGAGUUGUAUCCUGUUCCCUGACAUUUGUUUCUUAGUUUUACAGUUGGUCUUCAUCCAGAUCAGAUGGUUUAACAGGUGGGCAUUCAUUCUUCAGGAUGGAUUCCACAAUCAUGAUUGGUAUCGGUGGCAGCAUGCUACUGGCCUUAUUCGUGCUGCUGGUUUUUGUCAUCUGCCUUUACCUCAAAGUGGCCAAUGCACUGAAACCUCCAAAGAUGAAGGCCACGUGUUACCCCGCCAUCCCGGGCUGUGAUCAAUGUAACUUGUACACCGACUGUGACCCCCUGCUUCCUUGCGUCUGUAACGUAAAUGAGGGCCUCUGACUUGGUGCCAUAAAUAUCUUCAUGACAAAUA
Long non-coding RNA from Erinaceus europaeus (western European hedgehog), 373 nucleotides. RefSeq lists it as uncharacterized. The record is from RefSeq and is a predicted model, not a curated record. The transcript is spliced from 3 exons. NCBI's taxonomy places the organism in Eukaryota, Metazoa, Chordata, Mammalia, Eulipotyphla, Erinaceidae.